UACGUAGGCGGAAAAUUAAGUCAGUAGUGAAAUCCCGCAGCUCAACUGUGGAACUGUUAUUGAUACUGGUUUUCUUGAAUUUAGUUGAGGUAGGCGGAAUGUGUAAUGUAGCGGUGAAAUGCUUAGAUAUUACACAGAACACCGAUUGCGAAGGCAGCUUACUAAACUAUGAUUGACGCUGAGGUACGAAAGCGUGGGGAGCGAACAGGAUUAGAUACCCUGGUAGUCC
RNAcentral lists this ribosomal RNA (229 nucleotides) under uncultured bacterium. RNAcentral's name for it is "partial 16S ribosomal RNA". It matches the Rfam family "Bacterial small subunit ribosomal RNA", at positions 568 to 796 of the family's 1533-position model. The record is from RNAcentral.